GAUGAACGCUAGCGGCAGGCCUAAUACAUGCAAGUCGAACGGUGUAGCAAUACACAGUGGCGCACGGGUGCGUAACACGUAUGCAACCUACCUUACAUUGGGGGAUAGCAUUUCGAAAGGGAGAUUAAUACCGCAUAAACCAGUAACUAGACAUCUAGUAGCUGUUAAAGAUUUAUCGAUGUAAGCAGGGAAUGCGUCCAAUUAGUUAGUUGGCGAGGUAAUGGCUCACCAAGACGAUGAUUGGUAGGGGAACUGAGAGGUCAAUCCCGACACUAGCACUGAGAAACGGGCCAGACUACGACGGGAGGCAGCGGUAGGGAAUAUGGGGCAGUGAGCGCAAGUCUGACCCAGCCAUGCGGCGUGCAGGAAGAAGGCGUUAUACGUUGUACACUGCUUUUAUACAGGAAGAAACGACCCUUGCGAGGGGCAUUGACGGUACUGUAUCAAUAAGCACCGGCUAACUCCGUGCCAGCCGCCGCAGUAU
Molecule: ribosomal RNA, 484 nt
Filed under: uncultured bacterium
Lineage: Bacteria
Description: partial 16S ribosomal RNA
Rfam family: Bacterial small subunit ribosomal RNA
Source: RNAcentral